UCCUGUUUAGAUCAGUUGGUAGAGCACUCCACUGGAAAUGGAGUGCUCCCUGGUUUGUUUCCAGGACCAGGCG
Molecule: transfer RNA, 73 nt
Filed under: Ixodes scapularis (black-legged tick)
Lineage: Eukaryota; Metazoa; Arthropoda; Arachnida; Ixodida; Ixodidae
Description: tRNA-Ser for anticodon GGA
Rfam family: tRNA
About the family: Transfer RNA (tRNA) molecules are approximately 80 nucleotides in length. Their secondary structure includes four short double-helical elements and three loops (D, anti-codon, and T loops).
Source: RNAcentral